GACGAACGCUGGCGGCGCGCCUAAUGCAUGCAAGUCGAGCGACGCAUGCUCGGUGGGUAACCACUCGGGUAUGACGGAGCGGCAACGGGUGAGUAACACGUGAGUAACCUGCCCCGAAGAUCGGGAUAGCCCGGGAAACCCGGAUUAAUACCGAAUACCCUCUCUGGAUCGCAUGGUCCGGUGAGGAAAUGCCUUUGUGCUUCGGGAUGGACUCGCGGCCUAUCAGCUAGUUGGUGAGGUAACGGCUCACCAAGGCAACGACGGGUAGCUGGUUUGAGUGGACGAUCAGCCACACUGGGACUGAGACACGGCCCAGACUCCGUACGGGAGGCAGCAGUGGGGAAUAUUGCGCAAGUGGGCGAAAGCCUGACGCAGCGACGCCGCGUGGAGGAUGAAGGCCGUUCGGGUUGUAAACCUCUUUCAGUGGGGAAGAAGCGCAAGUGACGGUACCCACACAAGAAGGCCCGGCCAACUACGUG
This 479-nucleotide ribosomal RNA is filed under the name uncultured bacterium. Its description in RNAcentral is "bacterial SSU rRNA". It matches the Rfam family "Bacterial small subunit ribosomal RNA", at positions 28 to 507 of the family's 1533-position model. The record is from RNAcentral.